GUGCUUGCUUCAGCAGCACAUAUCCUAAAAUUGGAGGGAUACAGAGAAGAUUAGCAUAGUGCCUGCACAAGGAUGGCAUGUAAAUUCGUAAGCAUUUUAUAUAUAUAU
Hyaena hyaena (striped hyena) is the source of this 108-nucleotide small nuclear RNA. The record is from RefSeq and is a predicted model, not a curated record. Lineage: Eukaryota; Metazoa; Chordata; Mammalia; Carnivora; Hyaenidae.